This 434-nucleotide ribosomal RNA is filed under the name uncultured bacterium. RNAcentral describes it as "bacterial SSU rRNA". It matches the Rfam family "Bacterial small subunit ribosomal RNA", at positions 957 to 1392 of the family's 1533-position model. The record is from RNAcentral.
UAACGCGAAGAACCUUACCAAGGCUUGACAUAUACCGAAAACUGGCAGAGAUGUCAGGUCCGCAAGGGCGGUAUACAGGUGGUGCAUGGUUGUCGUCAGCUCGUGUCGUGAGAUGUUGGGUUAAGUCCCGCAACGAGCGCAACCCUCGUUCUAUGUUGCCAGCGCGUUAUGGCGGGGACUCAUAGGAGACUGCCGGGGUCAACUCGGAGGAAGGUGGGGAUGACGUCAAAUCAUCAUGCCCCUUAUGUCUUGGGCUGCACACAUGCUACAAUGGCCGGUACAAAGGGCUGCGAUACCGCAAGGUGGAGCGAAUCCCAAAAAGCCGGUCUCAGUUCGGAUUGGGGUCUGCAACUCGACCCCAUGAAGUCGGAGUCGCUAGUAAUCGCAGACCAGCAACGCUGCGGUGAAUACGUUCCCGGGUCUUGUACACACCA